RNAcentral lists this ribosomal RNA (823 nucleotides) under uncultured bacterium. RNAcentral describes it as "bacterial SSU rRNA". It matches the Rfam family "Bacterial small subunit ribosomal RNA", at positions 103 to 919 of the family's 1533-position model. The record is from RNAcentral.
CUGGUGAGUAACGCGUGGGUGACCUACCUUGAGGAUGGGGAUAGCUGUUAGAAAUAGCAGGUAAUACCGAAUACGUUCACAAUAUUAUGAUUAUGUGAAGAAAGGAGCUACGGCUCCGCCUUGAGAUGGGCCCGCGUCCCAUUAGCUAGUUGGUGAGGUAAAGGCCCACCAAGGCGAAGAUGGGUAGCCGGCCUGAGAGGGCGAACGGCCACACUGGGACUGAGAUACGGCCCAGACUCCUACGGGAGGCAGCAGCUAAGAAUAUUCCGCAAUGGACGAAAGUCUGACGGAGCGACGCCGCGUGGAUGACGAAGGCCGAAAGGUUGUAAAAUCCUUUUGCGGGCGAAGAAGAAGGUCUGGAGGGAAUGCCAGAUCGGUGACGCCGGCCCGCGAAUAAGCCCCGGCUAAUUACGUGCCAGCAGCCGCGGUAACACGUAAGGGGCGAGCGUUGUUCGGAAUUAUUGGGCGUAAAGGGCGCGUAGGCGGCCGCGUAAGUCUGAUGUGAAAACCCCGGGCUCAACCCGGGAACUGCAUUGGAAACUGCGCGGCUUGAGUCACGGAGGGGAAGCCGGAAUUCCUGGUGUAGGGGUGAAAUCUGUAGAUAUCAGGAAGAACACCGAUGGCGAAGGCAGGCUUCCAGCCGAUGACUGACGCUGAGGCGCGAAAGUGCGGGGAGCAAACAGGAUUAGAUACCCUGGUAGUCCGCACUGUAAACGAUGCACACUAGGCGUCGGGGCGAGCGUUCCGGUGCCGAAGCGAACGCGGUAAGUGUGCCGCCUGGGGAGUAUGCCCGCAAGGGUGAAACUCAAGGAAUUGACGGAAU